This 394-nucleotide long non-coding RNA is filed under the name Apteryx rowi (Okarito brown kiwi). RNAcentral describes it as "lncRNA (ENSARWG00000003087.1)". The record is from RNAcentral. Lineage: Eukaryota; Metazoa; Chordata; Aves; Apterygiformes; Apterygidae.
GCCCGCCGCCCCCGCGCCUGCCGCCCCCGGUGGGGCUGCGGGGCGGGGAGCGGAGCGGCCCCGGGGACGGCGGGAAGGGCCCGCCCGGGCUGUUCCCGACGGCGUGGGAGACUUUAAAGUUGCAUUUUAAAGCACUCGCAAAACAAUGAGCCGUUUGUUUGCGGACACCUUCUUCUCGGCAGAUGUGAGCACGCAGCAAAAGCGUGAAGGUCUCACUGCUUUUACGGCCGUCUGGUGUCUCCUGGUCUGGCUUUCACCUGCUGUCCAGGUUGCAACAAAAGCUCCUGGUCAUCUUCUUUCACUGCCGUGCAAGCCGCAAAAAGUUUGCAGCCUCUGCCUUGCUGUCGCACUGACAGAGCCGAAGAUAGAGAUCUCUGAAGUAGGAGCAGUCUGA